GCAAGUCGAACGGCAGCACGGGCUUCGGCCUGGUGGCGAGUGGCGAACGGGUGAGUAAUACAUCGGAACGUGCCCUGUAGUGGGGGAUAACUAGUCGAAAGAUUAGCUAAUACCGCAUACGACCUGAGGGUGAAAGCGGGGGACCGCAAGGCCUCGCGCUACAGGAGCGGCCGAUGUCUGAUUAGCUAGUUGGUGGGGUAAAAGCCUACCAAGGCGACGAUCAGUAGCUGGUCUGAGAGGACGAUCAGCCACACUGGGACUGAGACACGGCCCAGACUCCUACGGGAGGCAGCAGUGGGGAAUUUUGGACAAUGGGGGCAACCCUGAUCCAGCAAUGCCGCGUGUGUGAAGAAGGCCUUCGGGUUGUAAAGCACUUUUGUCCGGAAAGAAAUGGCUCUGGUUAAUACCCGGGGUCGAUGACGGUACCGGAAGAAUAAGCACCGGCUAACUACGUGCCAGCAGCCGCGGUAAUACGUAGGGUGCGAGCGUUAAUCGGAAUUACUGGGCGUAAAGCGUGCGCAGGCGGUUUUGUAAGACAGGCGUGAAAUCCCCGAGCUCAACUUGGGAAUGGCGCUUGUGACUGCAAGGCUAGAGUAUGUCAGAGGGGGGUAGAAUUCCACGUGUAGCAGUGAAAUGCGUAGAGAUGUGGAGGAAUACCGAUGGCGAAGGCAGCCCCCUGGGACGUCACUGACGCUCAUGCACGAAAGCGUGGGGAGCAAACAGGAUUAGAUACCCUGGUAGUCCACGCCCUAAACGAUGUCAACUAGUUGUUGGGGAUUCAUUUCUUCAGUAACGUAGCUAACGCGUGAAGUUGACCGCCUGGGGAGUACGGUCGCAAGAUUAAAACUCAAAGGAAUUGACGGGGACCCGCACAAGCGGUGGAUGAUGUGGAUUAAUUCG
RNAcentral lists this ribosomal RNA (900 nucleotides) under Cupriavidus sp. Its description in RNAcentral is "bacterial SSU rRNA". It matches the Rfam family "Bacterial small subunit ribosomal RNA", at positions 57 to 953 of the family's 1533-position model. Lineage: Bacteria; Pseudomonadati; Pseudomonadota; Betaproteobacteria; Burkholderiales; Burkholderiaceae. The record is from RNAcentral.